GCCUACUCUGUCGUCUCCCAAACUUGCAAGGUCACAUAUUUCAUUCCUUCAUGUAGUAACUUAUCAGUCCAGAGGAUUCCAGGAGCCCUGGGAAUGCGUGUUUGUAAAAUUCAUUUAAAUUCAUUAAAGUCAUUCAACUUACAUGACUUCUCAUAGAUUCUUAUCAUCUGGGCCUUGGAAUGGUCUAUAUAAUCAUUGGUUCCCAGAGGAUUUUCUGUGCCCUUAAUUUCAGUGACUAUCCACAGUUUUUUCUUGGCAGGAGUAUGUGUAGACAUCCCAGUUAGCUCAACAGGACUGUCCCAGCAGCCAGUCCACCAUAACGAGCAUGGCUGGUGCAGGCCUGGAGACGUCUACCCAUAUCGGACACAGUGUGUUUUGUGAACCAAGUGAGGUGUAGAGGAAUAAAGUCCUCUGCCUUCCUGCAGCCUUAAUGGUCUGCUGUGCAGGCUCCCUGGUGACUCAGGAGUUGUUCCUGAAAUCAGCGUGGCAGUGUGAGACAAGAUGUCCUGCGUGUGCCAGUGGUGGUUUUUAGGGGCAUCCCAGUGCAGCGUCUGUCCAUUGUGAAGUAGUGUGGUCGUGAAGCAGUACUAUGGUUCAGUGAGCAGCGCACUACAUGGGUCAGAAAUGACAGUGUGACAGAGUCACAUACCUUGAGGCAGACCUGCGUGAUAAUCACCAAGAUUGCUUUUUCCACCCGUGUUUCAAAGCCGACAUGAAGAAUGAGCCCUCGCCUGAGUCACUGUUUUAACCUGGCUUAAUAGAAUUUCCUUUUUCCAGUUUCUUUGCGUUAGGGUAAUAGACAGAAUGGUCGUUAAAGUUAGAGGCUUGGUAAUCAAGCGAGGUGGCAUUCUGUGGCUAAUCAGCCUUGUCUCCUGCCUGUGCCGGCUUGUGUAGGCUGGCGCCUUGGCUCUCGGGUGGCCGCUAUGAGCACACAGGCUGGCCCAGAAUAGGACACAGCCCUGCCUGCAGGCUCUGCUAGGAUAGCUUUCGCCAUGGCGUGGUGCUUUGGUUUAAUCAUUGUCAGAGGUCAGAGUUGAAAACUAAAACCCUAGACGCUUGUGGAAUGUGCGUCUAGGUGUAGUUACUCAUUGUGUGGUGUGUCCUUUGCUCCCCUUGCACGUCACUCCUGUGUGCCUGUGGACACUGCUCUCGACAGCCUCCCGACCCAAGGAAAGAACCGCAAGGACUUUCCAGUACACUUCCACCUGUGGCCGCCCUCAGCUGUGGGUUAGAAAUAAACACUGGACCUACAUACUAGAGUGCCUGGCCUGGCUCAGACGUGGGCGUGAGCAGUGUUGCUGUUUGAAAGUGAAAUCUGAAGCUCUAGUAACUCUUGGGUUGCUUAGUUUCAGCUUUCCACAUGGAAUAAAUAAAACAAAAUAAAACAAAAGGGAGGUGAGGUUCCGCCCUCUGAGAUACAGACUCUUUAAAGAGGAUUUUUAUUAUUCUGAACCUAGUUUCAUGAGAAAAUAUGUUGAGAUAAAUAAGAUCAAACAAUCAAAUGAUGCCAGUGGGGAUGAAAGCACAUACGUUCCUAGUGUAGCCAUUGGGGUAUCUUCUAUUUUAAAGACUGCUUGUCUCUAUUUUUAGUUCCACCAGAAACAUAAUUGUUGGCACAGGGUUGGAAUGUAUUGUCGGUGCAUGCCUGUGAUGUCAUCAUUGCAAGUUACCCUCAAAAACUAAGCCAGAGCCCCAACUCAGCCCGUGACCUCCGCCCUCAGCUACAGAAACAGCUGUAUUCCUGUCGAGCCUUUGCUGAGGAGCUGGGCUUCCACAGGGACUCAAGUGGGGAACGUGUUGCAGUGAUCAUUUUUCUAAAAUUCCUAGUAAUUUCUCAGUGUUCUACAGCAGAGAACAGGACCCCGUGUGACUGACUUCAGAUUGGCUUCUCUUUGAAGUAGGGCUUCCUCACUGUCCAUGGGCUGAUGGUAUAGCUUUAGGUCUCUCUGUAAGAGACGCCGUUACUGUCAUUACUUCACGCCUUAAGGAAUCAAGACCUCCACCAGUCUGUUACUCCUUCAAGGUAUGCUUCAUGGAUGAUCACGUUAGAGACUGUUGCCAUCUUGUGUGGGUAAAUGAUGUCAUUUGUGAGCAUAGAGGUGCUCUGCUGUGAGGAUGUCAUGCCUAAACAAUGCAGUGGAAAUCCAGUAUACAAGUUCAGAUACUGGUAUUUCUAGACAUGGCUUAGUCCUGAAAGAAUUUCCUUGCUAUGCAUUUUAAAGUGUUUGUAGAUGGAUUAAUAUAUUUUUAUGCAAUGUAUUUUACACUUAUUUCUAGACCAAACUCUUCAGUGGCUUCUUCAAGUGCAUUAUUGGGUGGAUAAGAGCUUGACGGCUUCACUAACUCGAGGAGCGUGGAGCCAAGCGUCUGGGAAGCGUGUGUGUUCCUACUGUACUUGCAAACCUAAAGCUCUUCCAAAGCUUUGUACUUUUUUUCCAUGAAACAGAUUAAAUAUUUUUCUCUCCAA
This 2467-nucleotide long non-coding RNA is filed under the name Mus musculus (house mouse). RNAcentral describes it as "long non-coding RNA chr19:56601035-56603502". Lineage: Eukaryota; Metazoa; Chordata; Mammalia; Rodentia; Muridae. The record is from RNAcentral.